Molecule: non-coding RNA, 4726 nt
Organism: Phalacrocorax carbo (great cormorant)
Lineage: Eukaryota; Metazoa; Chordata; Aves; Suliformes; Phalacrocoracidae
Source: RefSeq, a predicted model, not a curated record
CCCGGCCUCCUCCCGCCAGCUGAGUCCCCUCCUCCUCCCCGCCGCCUUCCCGGCGGCCGCCGAACCGCCGGCGGCGGGGGCGGUGGCUGGCGGCCGAGCUGCUCGGGUCUCGCCGGCGCUGCCCAUGGGGGAGUGCGGGGUGCCCCCCCAGGUCCAGCUCUUCCUCCGCGCCUGCGAGCAGGGAGACUGCGAGACCGCCCGGCGUCUCUUGGGGCUGCCCGGCGGCGGUACCGCCGAUCCGGCGGCACCCUCUUCCUGCGGUACCGAGGAGGCGGUGGCGGCGGAGCCCCGCGGCGAAGCGUCCGCCACGCCGGCCCCCGCCGUGCCCGUGGAUUGCACCGACGAGGCCGGUAACACUGGUCUGCAGUUCGCCGCGGCGGGGGGACACGAGCAGCUGGUGCGGUUCCUGCUGCGGAAGGGGGCUUCAGUACAGAGUAGGAACCACUACGGAUGGAGCCCCCUCAUGCAGGCCGCCAGGUUUGGACAUCUAAGUGUGGCUCACAUCUUGCUGGAGAAUGGUGCUGACCUCAAUGCACAGAAUAAGUUAGGAGCCAGUGUCCUUACAAUGGCCUCCAGAGGCGGCCAUGUCAGCAUGGUGAAGUUGUUGCUGGAAUCUGGAGCUUUUGUAGACAAUUACGACCAUUUUAGCACAAGUGUACUUAGCAGCAGCAGAGAUGACCUUCCUGAUAUUACUCCGCUAAUGGCAGCUGCUCAGCAUGGACAUGAGGCAGUGGUGCACCUGUUAUUAGACUGGGGAGCUGAUUGUAAUUACACUGUGAAGACUAUGGGCUGGAGUCCUCUAAUGCUGGCAGCUGUUAGUGGAAAGGUGAGCUUGGCACAGCAGCUUAUGGAGAAAGGUGCCAAUCCUGAUCACCUGAAUGUACUACAUAAAACACCUUUUGAAAUCUCUGUUGGCUUCAAACACAAAGACAUGAAGGACUACUUGGAAUCUCUCACAACGAUCAGACCCCAGGCAGACACAGAAAAGAGGCAACCUGAUGUCUUUCAUGCUCUGAAACUGGGAAACUUUCAGCUGGUUAAAGGGAUUGUUGAUGAAGACCCAAGUCAGGUCAAUAUUACCAAUGUCGAUGGCGCGUCUCCAUUAAUGAUUGCGGCUGUAACUGGACAGCUGCCCCUUGUUCAGCUCCUUGUUGAGAAAAAUGCUGAUAUUGACAAGCAGGAUAAUGUUCAUGGCUGGACAGCACUAAUGCAGGCCACAUACCACGGAAACAAAGACGUUGUAAAGUAUUUGUUAAAUCAAGGAGCUGAUGUGAAUCUUCGUGCAAAAAAUGGAUACACAGCUUUUGACCUCAUCAUGCUGCUGAAUGAUCCGGACACAGAGCUUGUACGGUUACUGGCAUCAGCAUGCAUGCAAGUAGACAAAGACAAGAACAAACUGAACAACAGAUCAUCUUUGCCUUUUUCUAGAAGUAGACAAUCCUUAAAUGUCCCAAUGUUGCCAGAUGACAAAGGAGGACUAAAGUCCUGGUGGAGCAGGAUGUCCAAUCGAUUCCGCAAGCUGAAGUUGACUCAGACGUUGCGCCAUGGAUUUCCUUCCAAUCAGUUUGUGCCUUUUCCUGAUGAGCCUGAACCAUCAUUAAAUUCCACCAUAAAAGCAGUUCCACAGAGCGAUACGGACACCUCUGGAAACCCUGAUGCUGCUACAGCUCGGAUCACAAAUAACAAAGCUAGUGGUGUAAACACUGCAAAAGGAGAAAAGGAUGAUGAAUUAUUGACAACCAUGUUGAGAAGUAGUGCUCCAUUUACCAGGCUGCCCAGCGAUAAACUGAAAGCAGUGAUACCGCCUUUCUUACCGCCCUCAAGUUUUGAGCUUUGGAAUUCUGACCGAACGCGACUCAGCAAAGAUGGCAAAGCUGAACAGAUGAGAACUGCCUGGCCACAGAGGGCAAUCAAGCAUGAUUUUAACAGCAGUGGGAACUCUGAUAUAACAUCUGUUAGCAAGGGUACUAGACCAGUCAAAUUACCAACAUUUGCAAGAAGACCUGCAUCUCCUUCAAAUUCCAACAACUUCAACCAUUCUCCCCAUUCUUCUGGUGGAUCCAACAACAUUGCAGGAAUUAACAGGCAUGGAGGAGAACUGCAUAACAGAUCAGGUGGAAGUGCAGAUAAUGUUUUGUCUCAGAUUGCAGCCCAAAGGAGAAAAGCAGCAGGCUUGCCUGAACAGAAGCCCAACCAACAGCAUAGUCCAGUCCAGUCAACUCCUUCAUCCACUCUCUCUGAUCUGCAGUGUGCUCAAAUUGUUGGCAAUGGACAUGUUGUGAAGCAAAAACUGGAGAUGAACAAAAGACCUCCAUCUGGGACUUCAUCUACAUCUAAAAGCACAUCACCAACUCUUACACCUUCCCCAUCACCCUCCCCGUCUCCUAAGGUUCACAAUGCAGAGUCCUCUCUCUCUUCUUCUCACAGACAGGCCAAGAGCAACGGUUCCAGCAGUGGUACCAUUACAGAAGAUGGCAACCACUUGGUGGACCAUCAACAGCUUGUCCCUAUUCUGAGAACCAGUGAUGUAGAGAAUCAUGAAAGACGAAACCAUGUGAGGGUAAAAGGAGGCUCUGAAAACUGGGAGAAAGAUGAGCUGACUGGCAUCCUUAAAAAAUUGUCACUUGAGAAAUACCAGCCUAUUUUUGAGGAACAAGAGGUGGAUAUGGAAGCCUUCCUUACACUUACUGAUGGUGAUCUGAAAGAGCUGGGUAUUAAAACUGAUGGAUCAAGGCAGCAAAUUUUGGCAGCUAUUUCUGAACUGAAUGCAGGAAAGGGACGAGAGAGACAGAUUUUACAAGAAACAAUACACAACUUCCACUCUUCGUUUGAGAGUAGUGUUAGUAACACACGACCUCCAGGUCAUUCCCAGUGUACUACUAGGUGAAGAGAAGCUGCUAUUUGGGAUUUGAUAAUGUGGUGCAAUGAACUGGAAUUACUCAAGAACUGAAGAAGCAUACAGAUGUAACGUGUCUCCAAGCAACUUGCUGAGCCUAACCACUGAGCUUAAAAGUGUCUUGAAAACAGCAAAAGACAGUAAUGGUGGCACAGAGCUGGGAAGAACAUCCUUUUCUAAGAAAGGAGGCAACAGUUGCUCCUGCUGACCAGUUGACAAGGUGCUGCAAGGAGGCUGCCAUCAGAGAUCUAGCUUUUGGGUUUUUGUGUGUUGGAGCUCCAUGAAAGAGAUUUGGCUGUGAAACAGCAACAAACAGAGAAGGAAGAGGAAGAGCACAUGUAGAUAGAAGAAGUUUCUGCACCAGAGCCAGCCUUGGACCUUGUGAAAUGCCUUGUAAAAAUCCAGGCAUCAACUGGACCGCUGUUAUCUACAAAACUGUUGGCACCUUCAAGGAAUUCCAGUAGGUUGGUGAUGCAAGACUUUCAAAUCUCUUUUUGAUUGUUUUCCACAAAAUUUCAGAUUCUUUAUUGUGGUAUAUGUUAAUCUGCCUGGUACUACUGGCCUUCUCACUGGUCUGUUUCCCUGGAUCUUGCCUUGAACCAUUAAAAAAAAAAAUUAGCAUCAUUUUUAUCACUUCUCCGUUAUGUGGCAAUUUAAACAAGAACCUGUGCUCUGUACUUAGCAGUUCAGCUGCUUAAUCCUUGUGUUCCUUUAGAAUGUCUUGCUUAGCAACUUAUUAUUUGCUUUGUGUAUUUGUUUCAUAACCUUUUUUACCAAUACUUCACGUUAAGAUACCUUGGACUCCCACAUAAAGAAGGCUUCUGAAAUGGGAACCUUCCCAAGCUUUUGCAUGGUGGGAAGAAAAGAGAACACCCCGCCAUCUAGCAGGGGCACUGAACAAAGGGAGGAUUUAGAUAUCAAAGGAAUAAACUGAAUAUUCUCCAGAUACAAGUUAAAUGAAGAGUAACUAUGCCUAUGAUGAAAAAAAGAGUAUGAUGCCAUUCAAUCUAUAAUUCUUUCCGGAAAUUCUGGUCUUCCAGUUUCUCUUGACAUAUGAUGCACCUGGCUGCUCCGUAAAACCACAAGAAGCUGUUCCUCCUAAAAGGUAGCUACUGGAAAAAAAGAUUUUUUUUUCUUAUGGUGAAAUUUGGCAUCUGGCUGAGUAAAUCCAAGUGUACAGAUGACUGUCUGAAGUUAGUCCUAACUACACCUGUAUAGGACUUUCUGCAGUAAUGUGCUUAAAAAUUGAAUCCCACAAAGAAUCAAAGAAAAUAAUGAAGAUAUUGUUUUUAUACUUCAACCUAAGUGUUGAAUUGUUCAAGGCAUCGGUGGUCUGGAUUUGAGAAGAACAAAGAAGAGCGGGAAGAAUAAAUGACCAUAUACGAAGACUGAUGUUUUCAUUCUACUCUUGCCCAUAGAUGAAGACCCCAUAGGAGGCCUGCAUGGGCACAAUCAAGAACAAUAAAAACAUGGAAGAAGGCAUGAAAACCACCACAAACUACGAGAGCUUCUAUACGGAGGAAUAUAUAAACGGACUAUGCCUCUGUUGACUGGACACAGAUAAAGGAGUCCAAAUGCAAAAUGUCAUGGUUUAAUGAGAAGGAGUAUAAAGGAAAAGUAAUGCUGCAUUCUUCAUUAACCAAAAUACACUUUAUCUAUUCAACAUUAAGGGGUUAGAACAGCAGUAAAAGUAAAUAUGAAAUGUCUAUUUGUAAAAAGAGCACUUUAUUUAAGGAAAUGCAUAAUCUGUCACCAAUAUUUAAACAAAUAGUGUUAAAAUAUUUUAUAUUGCUGAUUGGUUGUUUUAAGAAUAAAACCAUUUAACUGCUA